ACGAGUAUGCUGAAAUUGGUAGUCAGGCCAAACUUAGGAUUUGGUGUUCUAUUGAAUGUAAGAGUUCAAGUCUCUUUACUCGUA
Molecule: transfer RNA, 84 nt
Filed under: Auricularia cornea
Lineage: Eukaryota; Fungi; Basidiomycota; Agaricomycetes; Auriculariales; Auriculariaceae
Also listed under: 1 other name
Description: tRNA-Leu
Rfam family: tRNA
About the family: Transfer RNA (tRNA) molecules are approximately 80 nucleotides in length.
Source: RNAcentral